UACGUAGGGUGCGAGCGUUAAUCGGAAUUACUGGGCGUAAAGCGUGCGCAGGCGGUGAUGUAAGACCGAUGUGAAAUCCCCGGGCUUAACCUGGGAACUGCAUUGGUGACUGCAUUGCUGGAGUAUGGCAGAGGGGGGUGGAAUUCCACGUGUGGCAGUGAAAUGCGUAGAGAUGUGGAGGAACACCGAUGGCGAAGGCAGCCCCCUGGGCCAAUACUGACGCUCAUGCACGAAAGCGUGGGGAGCAAACAGG
Molecule: ribosomal RNA, 253 nt
Filed under: uncultured bacterium
Lineage: Bacteria
Description: partial 16S ribosomal RNA
Rfam family: Bacterial small subunit ribosomal RNA
Source: RNAcentral